UUCGCCGCCGGUGUUGUUGUGAGAAGUUCAUUAAACCUUAUCAUUUAGAGGAAGGAGAAGUCGUAACAAGGUUUCCGUAGGUGAACACGCGGAAGGAUCACUGAACACACGAUCUCGGAAAAACUUUGCGAACUGUCACUUUGUACCCCGAGGGAUCGUGCUGGGAGGCACGAUCGUCGGAGUCUCGAGUCGAGGGUGCAUGUGCGUCAGCCGUGAUCCUCCUGUUGGUGCGUGUUGGGGAUGAUAGACUCGGGUGCUCCGUCGGAAAACCCCCGACACGCGUGGGUCCGUGUUUGUUGGCAGCGAGCGGUCGGGGAGAGAGCAGGAGCCUCUCGAGUCGGUCGGACUUGGGAUGGCGAGGAGCCAUCCCGAGUCGGGCCGCAGGCGCAGCUCACUCCCCUGGCAGGUCGUUGCGGCGCUGGAGAUCCGGAGUGUUUUCCCCUCCUCCGUGGGAUGGGAGCUGGGAUGCUCCUGGGCGGGCCUCCUCCACGAGGCUCGCCCACCGGAGACCCGCCCCCCCUUCCCUGCCCUUUUUCCUACCACCAAAAGAACUUUGAUGAAACCGUGAGUUGAUAGAUUUUAAGAAGACCAGGGUCUUGUGUCCGGGCAGCCCCCCCCUCUAGAGGGCAGGGCCACUCCGGCGCCGACCGAAGUCAACAAAAGAUACAAAAAAACAAAUGACUCUCAGCAACGGAUAUCUUGGCUCUUGCAACGAUGAAGAACGCAGCGAAAUGCGAUACCUAGUGUGAAUUGCAGAAUUCCGCGAAUCAUCGAGUUUUUGAACGCAAGUUGCGCCCGAGGCUUGUUCCAAGGGCAUGCCUGCCUGAGCGUCCGCUCCGACCCACCCACCAGCCUCCUGCCUCCCCCGCAAGGGGGGCGUGGGAGGCAAUUCAAGUGGAGUGGAACUGGUCGUCCGAGAACCCGCUCGGCUCUUCCUCUUGGGGGUGCCAGGGCAGGGCGUCGCGGUCGGCUGAAACACGAUGACCGUUUGUCAAGCGCGCGCUAGGGUCGCGGUGCGUAGCGAGAAGGUGCCAUUCGGCUCCCGCUCGUCGGGUUGGGAGACGGAUGUUCAUGUGUAAAGCGACGCAUCGCCCCUGCGCGGUCGAGAGUUGAGACUUGGCGGAAGGCAUGGGGACGACAGUGGACUUGCUUGGUGCAUCGUUCUCCCGCGAAGGGAAGACCCUUUGUGCAAGGGGUCUUUCCUGGGAGGGGUUGCGCAGGCGGGCCCACAGGCGUCACGUUGCUCGGACCUCAGAUCAGGCAAGACCACCCGCUGAGUUUAA
This 1283-nucleotide ribosomal RNA is filed under the name Leptolejeunea convexistipa. RNAcentral's name for it is "eukaryotic LSU rRNA". The stretch from base 680 to 833 matches the Rfam family "5.8S ribosomal RNA". The record is from RNAcentral. Lineage: Eukaryota; Viridiplantae; Streptophyta; Jungermanniopsida; Porellales; Lejeuneaceae.